Xenopus laevis (African clawed frog) is the source of this 5723-nucleotide RNA transcript. It is a transcript of the gene named Rho GTPase activating protein 17 L homeolog, with no coding region annotated. NCBI's taxonomy places the organism in Eukaryota, Metazoa, Chordata, Amphibia, Anura, Pipidae. The transcript has 22 exons. The record is from RefSeq and is a predicted model, not a curated record.
GGUAGGGAAGGAGAAAGAGGGAGGAGUGCGGGGAGGGAGGAGGCAGUUACAGGACUGGGAGGUGCCGCCUUCUCCCACUCACCGGGCUCGGGACGUAGAACCUAAAGUGUUGGGGGCUCCCUGAGUUCGAGCCUAUGGAUUAGCCGGAGGGGGAGGCGCCGGUUCCGAGUCGGUUGUCUGGCAGUGCGGGCACAGCACGAGGCGCCAUGAAGAAGCAGUUUAAUCGCAUGAAGGUUCUGGCGAACCAGACAGUAGGGAGAGCGGAAAAGACUGAGGUACUAAGUGAAGACCUGCUUCAGAUUGAAAGACGUCUUGACAGCGUCCGUCUGAUUUGUCACAAUGCACAUAAGAAGCUGCUGGGUUGCUUGCAGGGACAGCCGGGCACAGAGGCGGAGAGGAGAUAUAGAAAACUCUCUCUCAUGGGCGUGUCGCAAUCCAUGGUGGAGGGGUCCUCGCUACUUGGCGAUGAUACACUAUUAGCGAAAACCUUGUAUUCGUGCGCAGAUGCAGAGCAACAGCUGGCCGUGGAGCUGUCUAUGCACGAGAUUGCAAUAGAAAAGGACAUCAUGGAACCUUUAAACCAACUAGCAGAGGUGGAGAUCCCCAACAUACAGAAGCAGAGGAAGCAGUUGAGUAAGCUGGUACUGGACUGGGAUUCGGCACGUGCCAGGUUUAAACUGGCACAGAAGUCCGGGACAAACUUCCAGAUGCAGCCAGGAAAGAUGGACUCCCUGAAAGAGGAGAUGGAUGAAGCUAUGAACAAAGUGGAACAGUGCAGGGACCAGCUUGCAGCCGACAUGUACAACUUUGUUUCAAAGGAAGGAGAAUAUGGAAAAUAUUUUGUCACAAUGUUAGAGACACAAGCUGAAUACCAUAGGAAAGCAUUAGCUGCCUUAGAAAAGGCACUCCCCGAAAUCCAAGCUCAGCAAGAUAAGUGGACAGAAAAGCCAGCGUUUGGCACACCACUAGAGGAGCACUUGAAACGGAGUGGGAGAGAGAUAGCUCUACCCAUUGAAGCCUGUGUAAUGAUGCUGCUGGAGACCGGCAUGAAAGAAGAGGGCUUGUUCAGAAUUGCAGCAGGGGCCUCCAAACUCAAGAAGCUUAAAGCCGCACUGGACUGUUCCACGUCUCAGCUAGAGGAGUUUUACUCAGACCCACAUGCAGUGGCAGGGGCACUAAAAUCGUAUCUGCGUGAACUGCCGGAGCCUCUAAUGACCUUUAAUUUGUAUGAGGAAUGGAUCCAUGCUGGAAACAUUCCAGACCAGAACACAAAGCUGCAGUCCUUAUGGGUAGUGUGCCAGAAACUUCCCAAACCAAAUCUGGAAAACUUCAGGUAUCUUGUGAAAUUCAUGGCCAAGCUGAGUCACCUCAGUGACAUCAACAAGAUGACUCCCAGCAACAUCGCAAUUGUGUUGGGUCCCAACCUCCUAUGGUCAAGGCAUGAAGGAACCCUCGCAGAAAUAGCGGCUGCAACAUCUGUCCACGUGAUGACAAUCAUCGAACCAAUCAUUCAGCACGCAGACUGGUUCUUUCCAGAUGACCUGGACUUUAAUGUUUCUGGUGCCUUUGUCCCCGUUGUGCCCACACCGCAUUCCAACAAUGUGCCUUAUACCGGGAACGAUGUGGCUUAUGAGUUUGGGCCACUGGAGAAGAAAAGGCCUUUCAGUAUGGUGAUGGAUGGAGAGCUGUCGAAGAGGGACAGCUCAGGUCUGAAAGUGAUGGACUACCAUCUGAACACUCGGAGAGGUGGAACCUUAAAUCGAAAACAUGCAGCACCAGCUUGCCAACCUCCACUGCCUCCCAGUGAAAGUGGAAACCAUCCGGAUUAUUCUGCAUCCUCAGAUGUUGGUUCCACGGUUGCUAUAUCUGCGCAGUCCACGACUUCUGCAGACCCUAUGCCAACCCACAGCAAUGAUGACUUUAGUACAUUCAAGCCUAAAGAUCUGACUACUGCAACCACCCCGCCAUCGCUUCGGAACGGAACUCAUCAGCCCUCUGGUGGUGGAAAUGCAAUGGCUCCUGCACAGGGCACUGCCAACCCAAGUCCUCUGUCCUCCAGGCGAGGUACAAAGAAGCCUGCACCCGCUCCUCCAAAGCCAGUUGUUCCCCAUUCGGGGCAGCUCGCUCAUUCAGGUUCAACCAUUUCUGCAAAUGUCCCACCCUUUGUCUUGCCCAAGCCCACCAAUACUGCCCACAAUCCUUCUCCACCAAGUAGUAUUACCGGCCAGGGAGUUGCUCCAGCCACCUCUACACACUCUCAUGGCACCCUCCCUCGUAGGCAUUCAGGAAGCCAGCCAUUCUUCCAGGCACCCAGUCAUCCUCCUCCACAGCCACCCACUCAGUCAGCAGCUCUGUCACUGUCUAAACCUAAUGUCCAGCCAGUGACAUUCUCCAACGAAUCCUCUACAGAUCAAUCCUCCAGUCCCCCGCACACACCAUCUCCUCCAGAUACUCCCCCACUGGGUGUAGAACAUCCAGGAUCCCAGCCAGCUGCCCCUGAAGCUACCCAGACGCAGCCAUCACCCCCACAGACUGGGACUCUACCCCGACCUAGACCCGUCCCCAAGCCACGUGUUCGGCCUACAGUCCCUCCUCCGCCUCAGCCUCCAGCCUCUCCAACGGUCCAGGAGCACCCAGAACCAUCAUCCGCUUCAAAGAUCAUCACUGGUUGGGAAAGUUACCGGUUCUAAGAUGUAUGAUGUGCCUUUAUCAGUAGCCAGUGAAACUUCAAGGUUUUAUGAUCCUCUUGUACAAGUUCGGUCUGCAGCAGAAUCGGUGCCUCCGGCUUUCCUCACUGAGCCUUCCCCACAAUCCUCGGUCAACUCAGAAGCUGACAUUGAGAGCACAGCUCUGUGACAAGGUCAAGGAACCUGCACUCCAAAACUACGGACUUCUCACUCUACAAGCCGACCAAGGGCUCCGUGUCAAGACUCAGCAGUGAAAAGCUUUCUACUCUUAUUCAUAUAUAUGAAUAUUUUCUCUUGCGAGAGAAAGACUUCUUGAGGUUUGAAUGACCUGGUGUGUCUUGCCAUUAUAACACGGACGUGGCCUUAGCCUUGGGAGGCAGUUCCUUUGCCUAUAGGGAAUAUACCAAGCUGCUGUUUCCUCUCUCCUUUGUACCACAUCAGACAGAUACAUCUGCCAAACCCCCCCCCUAAUUUGGUGGUGCAGAGGUGGAACACGCUGAAGACAUUCCAUUGCAGUCCCUUUAUUGCUCCUCUCUGCACCCCAAUAUCUGCCAGGUAAACCAGCAGUCACCCAUAUUGCUUUGAUGCACUCUUCUACAGUGUACAGACACAUCUAACAGCUCAUAUUUUAGGAUCAUGGAUAAAUAAACAUGCAUUUGUUGGCACUUUACCUGGAACAUAGGAAUGAGUGAGUGGAUGAUAUUGCUGCAUUGUGGGGUGUAAUCCAAUAUAUCCUGUAAUUUAGAAACCUCUAGCAGGUACGAGGUGAAAUAUAUAUUUAAAACUGCAGGAUUUCAGUUACUGACUGGUUAUAACCUUGUGCUAUUGCAUUCAUACAUCUGUGUGUGUAUUACAUAUGCUGCAUACAUAUACAGCACCAAGCAUAUCCACAGGAAAAGCAGAGUAAGGCUAAAGUGCCAUGAUUAGUGUGUGGCUGUAAUGCUCAGGCAUCAGGGCCAUCUUUAACAAAGCAUUAUUUGUUAGAACACACAAUAAGGAACAGGACAGUCCCACCUCCAACAAGUGAAGGGCAGCAGAUUGGGCUGUAUUCUUGCUACCAUUCUCUUGCCCUGUUCUUUACACCUUUUCCAAAUAUACCUGUCCUCUUGAGUCACCUUCUUACCCUACUGACUCCAUCCUUUUUAACUACAUGACCAUUGACUCCUCCCAGUCACCAUCUUACCCUGUCAUCUCCAUCUCUUCCCUACUAUACCUAUCCCCUAACUCUUCCUAGUCACCAUCUUCCACUACCAUCUCCAUCCUUUCCUACUAUACCUUUCCUUUAACUCUUCCCAGUCAUCAUCUUACCCUACCGUCUCCAUCUCUUCCCUACUAUACCUAUCCCCGAACUCUUCCUAGUCACCAUCUUACCCUAUCAUCUACUUACAUCCCUUCUUACUAUACAAAUCCAUUGACUCUUCCUAUUCACCCGUGCCUUCUCCAUACUUUUAUUUUCACUAUACCUAUACCCUGACUCGGGGCACCCAUGAGCCACAUUUAAAUGCAAAAAGAGUUGGGGAGCAACACAAGCAUGCAUAAAGUUCCUGCAGGUGGCAAUUAAGGGCUGUGAUUGGCUUGCCUCCAAGCCAGGAACUAGAAUGUAAUCACCUGCUUUGAGGCCAUUGGGAGCAACAUCCAAAGGGUUUGGUGUGCAACUUGUUGCUCAAGAGCCACUGGUUGGGGAUCACUGCCCUGGUUUCUCCUAGUCACCAUCUUACCCUAUCAUCUACACCCUUCUCUACCAUAGAUAUAUACAGUAUAUGACUCCUCCUUGUCACCAUCUUCCCUAUCAUCUACAUCCUUUCUUACUAUACCUAUAGUCUAAUUCUUCCUAGUCACCCUCAUACCCUACCAUCUCUGUCCUUUCUUACUAUACCAUAUACUCACCUUAACAGUAUAUCUCCCAGUUAAGUAAGGGAGAUGACACCAAUUACAAUAGAGCAGUACAGCACAUAGAUGUUUCCAGUGUGAGCAUGAAGAGACUCUGCCAUUCUCUGAAGAAAAGUUUCAAUAGGAGAAUGGCUUUCCAUUUCACCUGGCCUUCUCUAGAGUGGCACUUUAAGUGGCAUUAUACUAAUAUAGUAAUUAUUCUACCUGUAGUAUCUGACCAAAGCUUACUGCUGAUUGGUUACUGCCCUGGUGCAAACUGGCCCCGUGUUAAUAAGUAAUCAUCACUGUGUCUGCUGUGGUUAAUGAUAGAGUGCAUUUCUCAAGCAAUUCCUAGGCCAGGGGUCCCCAACCUUUUUUUACCUGUGAGCCACAUUCAAAUGUAAGAAGAGAUGGAGAGCAACACAAGCAUAAAAUAGUCCCAUGGGGUGCCAAAUAAGGGCUGUGAUUGGCCAUUUGGUUGCCCCUAUGUGGACUGGAAGCCUACAAGAGGCUCUACUUGGUACUAUACUUAGUUUUUAUGCAAUUAAAUUCAAAAAUAAGCAUCUGCUCUGAGGACACAGAGAGCAACAUUCAAGUAGUUGGAGAGCAACAUGUUGCUCGCGAGCUACUGGUUGGGGAUCACUGUCCUAGGCUAUUAAAUAUAUUUCCAGCUUGUUCCAGUAGAGUUUGCUAAAUCUGUUACACCCCCACUGCUGUUUAACUACAUUUCUCAUCAUCCUAAUGGGAGAUACAGAAUUACCAAGGGUUGAACCCUAAUUUAAUUUUCGAGAGUGGCUGGUCUACCAGUCGUGCUGUUUGACUUUACAACGGUGCCUUGCACAAUAAAAUAAUUCCACUCUCUGCCUUCUAAUCACAAGGCACAAAACUCUCUGGGUAGCAUUCAAUUUGCAGUUUUUGUAGCCUUUUUAGUCCGCACAAUCCGCUCACUUAUAUAGAUGUUUUUCUGCUGAUAUUUUCCCCCGGUUUCUAUACCAGUGAAUUGCUGACGGUUCUGUAAGAUUUUCUUUCCCUUACCACGUGUGAGACAGACUCAUCUGCUUUGGAUAAAGCUCAGCAAUGGGACUUAAAUUAUAUAUUUUUGCCACACAAUAAAAAUGCUGAUGUCUAUUUCCUCUUCCCAAGGAAAUAAAAAAAGGUUAUGAGGUU